This 72-nucleotide transfer RNA is filed under the name Candidatus Colwelliibacteriota bacterium. RNAcentral describes it as "tRNA-Glu". It matches the Rfam family "tRNA". Rfam says of the family: Transfer RNA (tRNA) molecules are approximately 80 nucleotides in length. Their secondary structure includes four short double-helical elements and three loops (D, anti-codon, and T loops). Lineage: Bacteria; Candidatus Colwelliibacteriota. The record is from RNAcentral.
GGCCCCAUCGUCUAGUGGUCAGGACGCCAGGUUUUCAUCCUGGUAACAGGGGUUCGACUCCCCUUGGGGUCA